UAGGGAAUCUUCGGCAAUGGGGGGAACCCUGACCGAGCAACGCCGCGUGAGUGAAGAAGGUUUUCGGAUCGUAAAGCUCUGUUGUUAAGGAAGAACGAGUGUGAGAAUGGAAAGUUCAUACUGUGACGGUACUUAACCAGAAAGGGACGGCUAACUACGUGCCAGCAGCCGCGGUAAUACGUAGGUCCCGAGCGUUGUCCGGAUUUAUUGGGCGUAAAGCGAGCGCAGGCGGUUAGAUAAGUCUGAAGUUAAAGGCAGUGGCUCAACCAUUGUAGGCUUUGGAAACUGGUUAACGUGAGUGCAGAAGGGGAGAGUGGAAUUCCAUGUGUAGCGGGGAAAUGCGUAGAUAUAUGGAGGAACACCGGUGGCGAAAGCGGCUGUCUGGUCUGUAACUGACGCGGAGGAUCGAAAGCGUGGGGAGCGAACAGG
This 429-nucleotide ribosomal RNA is filed under the name Bacteroidota bacterium. RNAcentral's name for it is "Bacteroidetes bacterium partial 16S ribosomal RNA". It matches the Rfam family "Bacterial small subunit ribosomal RNA", at positions 355 to 776 of the family's 1533-position model. Lineage: Bacteria; Pseudomonadati; Bacteroidota. The record is from RNAcentral.